ACGAAUAUGCCGAAAUUGGUAGCCGGGUGUGUCUUAGGAACACAUGAUUUUUGAUCAUAAGAGUUCAAGUCUCUUUAUUCGUA
This 83-nucleotide transfer RNA is filed under the name Pleurotus pulmonarius. Its description in RNAcentral is "tRNA-Leu". It matches the Rfam family "tRNA". From Rfam's summary of the family: Transfer RNA (tRNA) molecules are approximately 80 nucleotides in length. Their secondary structure includes four short double-helical elements and three loops (D, anti-codon, and T loops). Lineage: Eukaryota; Fungi; Basidiomycota; Agaricomycetes; Agaricales; Pleurotaceae. The record is from RNAcentral.